GGUUAAGCGACUAAGCGUACACGGUGGAUGCCCUGGCAGUCAGAGGCGAUGAAGGACGUGCUAAUCUGCGAUAAGCGUCGGUAAGGUGAUAUGAACCGUUAUAACCGGCGAUUUCCGAAUGGGGAAACCCAGUGUGUUUCGACACACUAUCAUUAACUGAAUCCAUAGGUUAAUGAGGCGAACCGGGGGAACUGAAACAUCUAAGUACCCCGAGGAAAAGAAAUCAACCGAGAUUCCCCCAGUAGCGGCGAGCGAACGGGGAGCAGCCCAGAGCCUGAAUCAGUGUGUGUGUUAGUGGAAGCGUCUGGAAAGGCGCGCGAUACAGGGUGACAGCCCCGUACACAAAAAUGCACAUGCUGUGAGCUCGAUGAGUAGGGCGGGACACGUGGUAUCCUGUCUGAAUAUGGGGGGACCAUCCUCCAAGGCUAAAUACUCCUGACUGACCGAUAGUGAACCAGUACCGUGAGGGAAAGGCGAAAAGAACCCCGGCGAGGGGAGUGAAAAAGAACCUGAAACCGUGUACGUACAAGCAGUGGGAGCACGCUUCGGCGUGUGACUGCGUACCUUUUGUAUAAUGGGUCAGCGACUUAUAUUCUGUAGCAAGGUUAACCGAAUAGGGGAGCCGAAGGGAAACCGAGUCUUAACUGGGCGUUAAGUUGCAGGGUAUAGACCCGAAACCCGGUGAUCUAGCCAUGGGCAGGUUGAAGGUUGGGUAACACUAACUGGAGGACCGAACCGACUAAUGUUGAAAAAUUAGCGGAUGACUUGUGGCUGGGGGUGAAAGGCCAAUCAAACCGGGAGAUAGCUGGUUCUCCCCGAAAGCUAUUUAGGUAGCGCCUCGUGAAUUCAUCUCCGGGGGUAGAGCACUGUUUCGGCAAGGGGGUCAUCCCGACUUACCAACCCGAUGCAAACUGCGAAUACCGGAGAAUGUUAUCACGGGAGACACACGGCGGGUGCUAACGUCCGUCGUGAAGAGGGAAACAACCCAGACCGCCAGCUAAGGUCCCAAAGUCAUGGUUAAGUGGGAAACGAUGUGGGAAGGCCCAGACAGCCAGGAUGUUGGCUUAGAAGCAGCCAUCAUUUAAAGAAAGCGUAAUAGCUCACUGGUCGAGUCGGCCUGCGCGGAAGAUGUAACGGGGCUAAACCAUGCACCGAAGCUGCGGCAGCGACGCUGAUGCGUUGUUGGGUAGGGGAGCGUUCUGUAAGCCUGUGAAGGUGUGCUGUGAGGCAUGCUGGAGGUAUCAGAAGUGCGAAUGCUGACAUAAGUAACGAUAAAGCGGGUGAAAAGCCCGCUCGCCGGAAGACCAAGGGUUCCUGUCCAACGUUAAUCGGGGCAGGGUGAGUCGACCCCUAAGGCGAGGCCGAAAGGCGUAGUCGAUGGGAAACAGGUUAAUAUUCCUGUACUUGGUGUUACUGCGAAGGGGGGACGGAGAAGGCUAUGUUGGCCGGGCGACGGUUGUCCCGGUUUAAGCGUGUAGGCUGGUUUUCCAGGCAAAUCCGGAAAAUCAAGGCUGAGGCGUGAUGACGAGGCACUACGGUGCUGAAGCAACAAAUGCCCUGCUUCCAGGAAAAGCCUCUAAGCAUCAGGUAACAUCAAAUCGUACCCCAAACCGACACAGGUGGUCAGGUAGAGAAUACCAAGGCGCUUGAGAGAACUCGGGUGAAGGAACUAGGCAAAAUGGUGCCGUAACUUCGGGAGAAGGCACGCUGAUAUGUAGGUGAAGUCCCUCGCGGAUGGAGCUGAAAUCAGUCGAAGAUACCAGCUGGCUGCAACUGUUUAUUAAAAACACAGCACUGUGCAAACACGAAAGUGGACGUAUACGGUGUGACGCCUGCCCGGUGCCGGAAGGUUAAUUGAUGGGGUUAGCGCAAGCGAAGCUCUUGAUCGAAGCCCCGGUAAACGGCGGCCGUAACUAUAACGGUCCUAAGGUAGCGAAAUUCCUUGUCGGGUAAGUUCCGACCUGCACGAAUGGCGUAAUGAUGGCCAGGCUGUCUCCACCCGAGACUCAGUGAAAUUGAACUCGCUGUGAAGAUGCAGUGUACCCGCGGCAAGACGGAAAGACCCCGUGAACCUUUACUAUAGCUUGACACUGAACAUUGAGCCUUGAUGUGUAGGAUAGGUGGGAGGCUUUGAAGUGUGGACGCCAGUCUGCAUGGAGCCGACCUUGAAAUACCACCCUUUAAUGUUUGAUGUUCUAACGUUGACCCGUAAUCCGGGUUGCGGACAGUGUCUGGUGGGUAGUUUGACUGGGGCGGUCUCCUCCUAAAGAGUAACGGAGGAGCACGAAGGUUGGCUAAUCCUGGUCGGACAUCAGGAGGUUAGUGCAAUGGCAUAAGCCAGCUUGACUGCGAGCGUGACGGCGCGAGCAGGUGCGAAAGCAGGUCAUAGUGAUCCGGUGGUUCUGAAUGGAAGGGCCAUCGCUCAACGGAUAAAAGGUACUCCGGGGAUAACAGGCUGAUACCGCCCAAGAGUUCAUAUCGACGGCGGUGUUUGGCACCUCGAUGUCGGCUCAUCACAUCCUGGGGCUGAAGUAGGUCCCAAGGGUAUGGCUGUUCGCCAUUUAAAGUGGUACGCGAGCUGGGUUUAGAACGUCGUGAGACAGUUCGGUCCCUAUCUGCCGUGGGCGCUGGAGAACUGAGGGGGGCUGCUCCUAGUACGAGAGGACCGGAGUGGACGCAUCACUGGUGUUCGGGUUGUCAUGCCAAUGGCACUGCCCGGUAGCUAAAUGCGGAAGAGAUAAGUGCUGAAAGCAUCUAAGCACGAAACUUGCCCCGAGAUGAGUUCUCCCUGACCCUUUAAGGGUCCUGAAGGAACGUUGAAGACGACGACGUUGAUAGGCCGGAUGUGUAAGCGCAGCGAUGCGUUGAGCUAACCGGUACUAAUGAACCGUGAGGCUUAACCUU
Molecule: ribosomal RNA, 2904 nt
Filed under: Escherichia coli
Lineage: Bacteria; Pseudomonadati; Pseudomonadota; Gammaproteobacteria; Enterobacterales; Enterobacteriaceae
Description: 23S ribosomal RNA
Rfam family: Bacterial large subunit ribosomal RNA
Source: RNAcentral